AAUAAUAUAUUGAGACUUGACUAUUUCAUAUAUAUAUUCUUUUAUAUCUAUUGGCCUUUGCUGGUAUUUUACUAUUCUAUAAAGUCUUGGAAAAACAAGAAUUUUGUUGAACGGGUUUUUUGAUUCAAGCCUUUUGUCUUCGCAGCUCAAUCUAAGAAAUGGCAGUCGAGAAUUGCGACGUAUUUCUGAGCUUCGGAGGCGAAACUCGCAACAAUUUCACUAGAUACUUGUACGAAAAGCUGAAGCUUCAAGGCUUCCAGCCAUUCAUGGACAGAGAAAACAUCGACCUUGGAGACGAAAUUGAUGGGAGAAUCAAGAAAGCUAUCAAAUACUCGAAAAGCGCUAUCAUAGUCUUAUCAGAAAAUUAUCCAUCUUCAAAACAUUGUUUGGAUGAACUGGUGCAUAUUCUUGAAAGGAACCGGACAUCCAAGUAUUUCAUCAUUCCGGUAUUUUAUUAUGUUGAAGCUGCUGAUGUCAAGUAUCGGAGGGGAAAAUUUGGCGACGCGUUUGAGCACGUCAAGAAGCGGUAUGGAGAAAAAAUGGAGCAAUGGAGUGCAGCAAGAAAUUAACGAAAAAGAUUCGCGUACAGAGAGCAAGAUCAUCGAAGACAUCGUUACAUCCUUCAUGCAAAAAUACUCAGAGCACUACCCAAGAGGCCAGACUUCACAGCAGAACUGUUCCCAAGUUAUGCCAUUAACGGAAUCUUAUCGUUUCGAUAUCGAAGAAGGAUCAGUUGAAGUUACCAAAGGCAAUGCGAACCCCAUGAAAAACAGUUACGGAGACAUGACAUUCCGAUCAUGGAUGAAGGAUUGGAUGAUUCAGAAUCCUAAAUUUUUUAUUCUUGUAGUUAUUAUUGUCAUUGUUAUUCUAAUUUUUACAGUGGUUACUUUUAUACAAAUUGGCAUAGAGGCCAGCACAGCUGACGCAGUCACCUCAGCUUUCAAGGACUUUCCGAAGACAUUGAAUGACGUGGAACCUAAGAACUUUCGAACGACAUUUCCGGGCGGGGGAAACUAAGGGACAACGAAAAUAAUAUGGAAUUCUUAAUAAUGACAACGGAGGCGUAACUGUAUAUAGUUGGAAAGGUUUGUUAGGAAAGGGUUUGUACACGAGUUGAUUUGUAUAUGUUGUUCUUUCUUUUUUUUUCUUUUCUUUUUUCAAGAUAUUCUAAAUCUUGUGUAUAUUGUAAUAUUCUGACUAAGAGCAAGUCCAACAAUGUCCUAGCAAAUGCCUUAUAAAUAUAAUAAAAUAAUGUGUCCUAGUGAUUUAGGACGUCAUCUUAAUAUAUCAA
Long non-coding RNA from Daucus carota subsp. sativus, 1291 nucleotides. RefSeq lists it as uncharacterized. The transcript is spliced from 3 exons. The record is from RefSeq and is a predicted model, not a curated record. NCBI's taxonomy places the organism in Eukaryota, Viridiplantae, Streptophyta, Magnoliopsida, Apiales, Apiaceae.